GGGAUAUAAUGUUCUUCAGGAGACAGCUGAUCACCACGCAGAAGUGGACACCAACUUCCCAAGAGACCAGAUAUUCUUCCUAUAAAAUGACCCUAACUGCAGACAGGACUCCUCCUAUUCUUGUUAACGCUGCAGGGAGCCAGGUCCUGCAGGCAGUGGGAGCCAGGGCUGCUCCUGUUACCCCAGGAAGCCUUGCCAGCUGUGCGCCUCUGACCGACCAUCCCUGCGAGAGGAGAGUCUGAAUGGUUUGUUCCUCAUUAAUGAUGGAAAAGCAAAACAAUGUAAAACCACAAUAAUCUUUUGUUAUGUUUUAUUUUAUUUUGUUUCGUUUUUAUUGAUUGAUUUGCAAUAUCACAUUUACUAUGCAAGCAGGUGCUUAAAUGAUACAACCCAUUUCCAGAAUGACCCAUGCUUAAACAUUUCUCAUUAAAAAGACUCUGCCAAACCACUCCAGGGCAGACUGUAGUCCAAGAAGUCAUGGUUUCAAAGACAGAUGUGAGAGUAAGCUCACAGCAAAGAGAAUUAAAAAUCAGCAGCUGCUGUGCUUCCUGUGCCCCUAGCUCUGCUUGCAGCUGGCCGCACCAGCGCAUGCAUGCUGGCAGCCUGUCGACAGGACGUCAUUUGUUCGGUUAAUCCCUACCUUUAGACAUUUCUAAGCUGUUAGUGCUCCAACCCUUCCCUCGGUAAUGUUCUACAUAAAACAUUAAUCAUGUUUCUGAGGUAUUGCUUCUCUAGCCAAUUUAGCAAAAAUGUAUCAUAUGUGGGUUUUUAACUCUCUAAACCACAAAUUAACCAUGUCUGUGAAAUUAUGUGUAUUUAAAAUAUACAUUAGAUUUUGUAUUACCUAUCAGCUGCAAAUCUUCAUGGUCAAUAACAUUAGAGAGUAAAUUACAACUAAUUACUGAAAGCAUUGUUAACUGAUCCUGGAGAAUAUGUAUUGAGAACACUCACAUAAUUUCGGAGUUUGAACAUUUAAAAUGAUAUUUUAACAUUUUAGUCAAAAUGUAAUACUCUUCCUUGGCAUCUAUCCUUUUACAAUCCCGGCAAGAGCAAGGACAUUAAAGAGGUCAACCACAGCCCUUGAAAGUA
Molecule: long non-coding RNA, 1089 nt
Filed under: Anser cygnoides (Swan goose)
Lineage: Eukaryota; Metazoa; Chordata; Aves; Anseriformes; Anatidae
Description: lncRNA (ENSACDG00005004739.1)
Source: RNAcentral